GAUGAACGCUGGCGGCGUGCCUAAUACAUGCAAGUCGAGCGAACGGACGAGAAGCUUGCUUCUCUGAUGUUAGCGGCGGACGGGUGAGUAACACGUGGAUAACCUACCUAUAAGACUGGGAUAACUUCGGGAAACCGGAGCUAAUACCGGAUAAUAUUUUGAACCGCAUGGUUCAAAAGUGAAAGACGGUCUUGCUGUCACUUAUAGAUGGAUCCGCGCUGCAUUAGCUAGUUGGUAAGGUAACGGCUUACCAAGGCAACGAUGCAUAGCCGACCUGAGAGGGUGAUCGGCCACACUGGAACUGAGACACGGUCCAGACUCCUACGGGAGGCAGCAGUAGGGAAUCUUCCGCAAUGGGCGAAAGCCUGACGGAGCAACGCCGCGUGAGUGAUGAAGGUCUUCGGAUCGUAAAACUCUGUUAUUAGGGAAGAACAUAUGUGUAAGUAACUGUGCACAUCUUGACGGUACCUAAUCAGAAAGCCACGGCUAACUACGUGCCAGCAGCCGCGGUAAUACGUAGGUGGCAAGCGUUAUCCGGAAUUAUUGGGCGUAAAGCGCGCGUAGGCGGUUUUUUAAGUCUGAUGUGAAAGCCCACGGCUCAACCGUGGAGGGUCAUUGGAAACUGGAAAACUUGAGUGCAGAAGAGGAAAGUGGAAUUCCAUGUGUAGCGGUGAAAUGCGCAGAGAUAUGGAGGAACACCAGUGGCGAAGGCGACUUUCUGGUCUGUAACUGACGCUGAUGUGCGAAAGCGUGGGGAUCAAACAGGAUUAGAUACCCUGGUAGUCCACGCCGUAAACGAUGAGUGCUAAGUGUUAGGGGGUUUCCGCCCCUUAGUGCUGCAGCUAACGCAUUAAGCACUCCGCCUGGGGAGUACGACCGCAAGGUUGAAACUCAAAGGAAUUGACGGGGACCCGCACAAGCGGUGGAGCAUGUGGUUUAAUUCGAAGCAACGCGAAGAACCUUACCAAAUCUUGACAUCCUUUGACAACUCUAGAGAUAGAGCCUUCCCCUUCGGGGGGGCAAAGUGACAGGUGGUGCAUGGUUGUCGUCAGCUCGUGUCGUGAGAUGUUGGGUUAAGUCCCGCAACGAGCGCAACCCUUAAGCUUAGUUGCCAUCAUUAAGUUGGGCACUCUAAGUUGACUGCCGGUGACAAACCGGAGGAAGGUGGGGAUGACGUCAAAUCAUCAUGCCCCUUAUGAUUUGGGCUACACACGUGCUACAAUGGACAAUACAAAGGGCAGCGAAACCGCGAGGUCAAGCAAAUCCCAUAAAGUUGUUCUCAGUUCGGAUUGUAGUCUGCAACUCGACUACAUGAAGCUGGAAUCGCUAGUAAUCGUAGAUCAGCAUGCUACGGUGAAUACAUUCCCGGGUCU
Molecule: ribosomal RNA, 1373 nt
Filed under: uncultured bacterium
Lineage: Bacteria
Description: bacterial SSU rRNA
Rfam family: Bacterial small subunit ribosomal RNA
Source: RNAcentral